AUAAUAUUGGGAGUGAUGAGACCCACAAAAAAAAAAUGAAAAAUGAAAAAUAAAAUAAAAUAUAACAAAACAAGGGAAAGCCCAGAAAAAAACUAGAUCUUGUAAGAGAGAGAGAGAGAGAGAGAGAGAGAAGGGUGGCUGAGUUGUGAGCUGUUUGCUUUCUGUUGUGGUGGUGCCUUCCGCUGCUCUCUGCUCUGCUGUUGGUGUUACUCUUACCCAAUUCUUUUCUUUUCUUUUU
Non-coding RNA from Arachis ipaensis, 238 nucleotides. NCBI's taxonomy places the organism in Eukaryota, Viridiplantae, Streptophyta, Magnoliopsida, Fabales, Fabaceae. The record is from RefSeq and is a predicted model, not a curated record.